Long non-coding RNA from Chelonia mydas (Green sea turtle), 159 nucleotides. RefSeq lists it as uncharacterized. The transcript has 2 exons. Lineage: Eukaryota; Metazoa; Chordata; Testudines; Cheloniidae. The record is from RefSeq and is a predicted model, not a curated record.
GUGCUUGGGGAAGGACAAACACCAGAGGAGGUUCCCGAUGCAACCUUGAGAUCUCAGCCAUCCAUGUUAUCACCAGCCAAAAGACUCCAAAAAAUGAGAAACAGGCCACAUAGAAGCAAGGAAGACAUGUUGCAUGAAGUAAUGCAGCAUUCAAGUAAU